This 1551-nucleotide unclassified non-coding RNA is filed under the name Daphnia pulicaria. Its description in RNAcentral is "uncharacterized LOC124349310, transcript variant X1". Lineage: Eukaryota; Metazoa; Arthropoda; Branchiopoda; Diplostraca; Daphniidae. The record is from RNAcentral.
AAUUGUUUCAACGACAAGGCGACGAUUUCCAAAUUCAAUAUUGCACGAUUCACCUAAGGCUCUUUUACCAGGUUUUUUGUUAGCAGUGCGAAGCUUAAAUGAAAAAUCGACGGUUCGUUGUUAAAAUCCUAUUUGGCCAUCUGUUGGCGUAUUUUUAUUUUUACGCAUUUCGAUUAAAACCACCACCAACCACCUGCUGAUUUGCUUUUGGCAAAGCGCCCUGGUACGUUCUACAUCUGUCCAUCCAUCGACCAGAACAACGACGACGCGUGACUUUAGGUGCUACUCCCGCAUCAUUUAUUAUAACGUCUCUUGACCUUGACGACGACGUGCCACCCAUAAAUAGGUAUGGUAUCUAAAGAAAUGGUUUCGCCUUUAUUUCGCUCAACCGAGACUUUGCGGCCACCACUUCUCUACGCUGUUGUUGUUGUUGAAGACUAGCACAACCCACACGCUCACGCACGCGGGAAGGAAGGAAAAAGAAAAAAUAACUCUGGUGUGGCCUCCAGUUCUUCCAGUGACUCCUUACGGAACAGUUGAAUUUUUAAAACCACGUUUGGUUGUUGUAUUGUUUGUUAGUUUCUGUUUAAAAGUUUUAAUAUCAAAGUUGAUUCACCGCUGCUGCGCAAUAUACUCUUAUCGGCUUGCUGUGUAUUGAUUGGCUAAUUAAUUCGACUGACAGUGUGUGCGCUGUGUGUGUCGUCCGGGAUAUCCUAUACAUCGUUGGAUAUGGCCCGUUGCUCUUGGAUGAUAUGCAUCGGCCUAAUUUUCCUCUUUUCUUCAGCUGCUGCUGUUGCGUCAGAAUCGCUGUCAAAUGGAACACGUACGAACGUGACGGCGGCGGCGGAGAGAGACGGACGGGCGUACGACGUUCAUCCACCUGACUCGACCAACAAUCAACGGGUGGAAGUUGUUCAGUCGCUCUCUCCUCGUCCUAAAUCACUUGGAACCGGGACGUGGAAAGCCAUCAAAAUCUGGAACGAUCCGGUGGAAGCAACAUCAUCAUCUACGGCUAAAAGAGCAUCUUCACCUGAACGAGUUGUCGCUUCUUCUUCUUCCGCAAGUCGGCCCGGAGACUCGUCCAUCUUGAUUACGUUUCUCUUUUUACCCGCCUUUAUGUUGUUCGUAACGCGACUGAUUGAAGAGCUCAGCAUUUCACCCAAAUAACUCAAUUUUUUUUUUUUUUUUUUUAAAAGCUUAUUUUAUUUCUUAACUAUUCGCAUCUACAUUAAAAAGUGAUACCUAAAAUUAACGCAUGAUUUACGCAUAUAUUAUAUUUUUUUCCGGAUACCAUAACAAUGUCAUAAUAUUGUACAUAUAUAAUACGUUGCUAGCUGCUGCUGUUGAAUUGAGGGAGACAUAUGUUGUAAAAUGAUUGCUUGUCAAAUUCACUCGUGUGUGUCCAUCUGACGUAUCCUUCUUUCUGGAGUUUGACAGCAGAUGUUUGAUGUUGUCCUCGUUGGUGGUAAUAAUGAGGGUCCUAUAUACACACACAUCCGAAAAAAGAAAGAAAAAACAGAUCUAGUACAAUACAAACAUUUCAGCUAUGUA